Molecule: ribosomal RNA, 253 nt
Filed under: uncultured bacterium
Lineage: Bacteria
Description: partial 16S ribosomal RNA
Rfam family: Bacterial small subunit ribosomal RNA
Source: RNAcentral
UACGUAGGGUGCGAGCGUUAAUCGGAAUUACUGGGCGUAAAGGGUGCGCAGGCGGUUUUGUAAGCCAGAUGUGAAAUCCCCGGGCUCAACCUGGGAAUGGCAUUUGGGACUGCAAGGCUAGAGUGUGGCAGAGGAGACUGGAAUUCCCGGUGUAGCAGUGAAAUGCGUAGAUAUCGGGAGGAAUACCGAUGGCGAAGGCAGCACUCUGGGACGUGACUGACGCUGAGACGCGAAAGCGUGGGGAGCAAACAGG